This 671-nucleotide unclassified non-coding RNA is filed under the name Hevea brasiliensis (rubber tree). Lineage: Eukaryota; Viridiplantae; Streptophyta; Magnoliopsida; Malpighiales; Euphorbiaceae. The record is from RNAcentral.
GCUGACUGUUUCCCCAUAAUAUAAGAAGGACAAAGAGGGCAACUCCAAGGGUAACAAGGAAAACAGUUUCAAUGCUGAAAAGCCCUCCAACCUCAACAACUUCAAUGGUACCAUUGUAAAAGACACUCUGAUAGGGUUGUUGAUCAAUUUCAUAAACUAUGGUACCUACUAAAUCAAAGGUGCCAGGCUGCAAGUAUUUGCUGACAGCAAAAGCAUAAGCGAACGAAGCCUGAGCAGAUAAAGGCACUGAAGCCUUGAAAUACUCCUGAGUAGUCAGAUUUUGGACGAGCAUACGAUGAUCAUAAGGAAAGUGAAGGCUAGCAGUUAUAGCAAGAACAUUCAACGCUGAUUCACCUUCAUUAUGCACACCAACGAGAAGUUCAGUUUCUUCCCCUGCUGGAACCAAUUUUGCAGCAUUUUUUGGAAAAAUGCACACAGUAUGUACUCCAGGGGCUGCGCUAUAUGUUCCAUCACCAAAUUCUUGGCUAUCAUCACCAACAAUUCCUAAAUCACCUCCUUCAAACAUUUCAGCUACACUUUCAUCUUCUACCGACUGACAUACAACUGUGAGAAUCGGGGCGGCGAUGAGGAGGAGAGCAACGAAGAGCAGGCGAGGUCCCAUGGCGUGAGAGGGGCGACAGAGCGGGCAGAAGGAGAAGAACCAGGGCGGC